UGGCAGUCGUCAGGGAAACCAAGGACUUCUACAGCCAUCCAGCUACAGGUGCAAAUUGGUCAGAGGGAACCACAGGCAGGACAACACUUACACUAAUAUCUGGAUUGAUCCAUGAAAUAUUCCUUACCAUUAGCAUCAUGCUCUGUUUAUAACUGGAGUGGGCUUUUCUGACUAGUUAGUUCUGUUAGUUUCAUUAGAGUUUUAUGGUUCAUUAAUUUGGUUGGCUCCAUUUGGGAGUUCUGUUUCAUUGGGAGUUUGGUGUUAGUUCAGGCUUUUGGCUUGCUGCCAUUUUCCAGUUGGCCUCUAAGGCAUUUCUUCCUUUUGCCUUUUUACUCUCUCCCCAGAAUCAGCUGUUCAGGACUAGGGUGUUAUCACCUUUGGGACAGGCUGUUCAGCAUGACUGGAGUUUUGGAUACAUUAAAGAUAAAUGGAUUAAGAAAGCCAAAGGUUUGACAAUGUGACAAACAAAACUGGAGCUGUUGAAAUUCGACAUGCAGCUGGAUAGAUAUAUCUUCUUCAAGGAAAUUGUCUUCUGGAGCAUUUGUUUAUUUGCUCAACAGUGUGCAUGAGCAGAGGGGAAACACGGACAAAGAAAAACAGUAAUCUGUAAAUGACUGCAACUGAGAGGUCACCUUCUAAAAUCUCCAAGUUCAGGAAACCUCACUCUUUUCUGGGAGGUGACUACUGAUCUUCUGCACACCAUCGUGAGCACUGGUGCAAAAGUACAGGACUUACAGAUGUCUUCACACCCCAUUAUCUCCUGCUUCUGAAAGAAUGGCAAAAUAAAGGAGUUGCAGCACUUUAUGAAGGCUGGAAUGAGGGGUCUGUGCCACUUACUCAGCCCAGAGGCAACCACAAAGGAGUGAUCCAGCUUCGACUUCUGUUUCUGCAAAUCCUGUUUUAUUGGAAAACCCAGGGAACUGUCUCAAAAUCUGCAUUACAAUAUGAAAAUAUUAUUAUAGUCACUGAGGAGGCCAGGACACAGCAGCCAGUUCCCAGGGUGCCUGCCGUGCUCUGGCAGGCCACCAGUCACAUGCAGAUCACAAGGCUCCACUUCUCCAGUUAUUGGGAUGAACUUGCCAAGCACUGUUCUGCCAGUUUAUGCCUGUUAUCAGAAUCCAAACAUAUGAUGGGAACCUGCCCAUCCUGAAGCACUGGUACUCUGAGAAUUACAACUUCACAGUUUUUUGCCACGUGGACUAUUGUAUGAAGAUCUUCCCCUUGAUUGCUGCCACAUCUUCAACAAAGCACAAGCCAGUGACUGGUGUUUCCUGAAGUGUCAGGAUUUUGUUUUCCUGGCCAAACCAGAGGUGACGCUUGCAGGACUGCUGUACUAUUGAGGUAUUGAAAUAGUCACCUAUAGAAACUUCAAAAUGUGUUAAACAAGUACCAUAUCACUAGAUAUUUUGAAACAAUUUCUGAUUCAGACAAAGGUUAUUCCAGAAUCUAAGAUCUAGACACAUAUUUCCUAAUUUUCUUACCUUUUCUCACAGUCUCAUAGGCUGAAAAAUCCUGUUCUAACUGGUCAGAGUCCUAAUUCACUAAGCCCCUCUCUUAGUUCCCUUUCUUCCUCUUCCUUUAACUCUUUAGCUGAUAGCUCAUUUGUGCCCUCUUCCCACAUUUGUUGUCAGUCCUGGUCUUCCUGAAUUUCAUUUUUUCCCAAUACACUAGUUACUACUUUCCCACAUCCCACUUUCUUUUUCCAUUAGAAGCUCUGUUUUCUAUUUUGCCUCUGUCUGGUUAGCCUGUUUCUUUUCCUCCCUAAUGCCAACUUUUAUUUCUGGUCUUUCUAGAUUCUAUUCUUUGUCCUAUCUGCAGUUCCAGGUCUUCUAAAAAGUUCUUGUCUUUUUAAAAUUGCUUUUAUUCAACCUUGUUGAAAUAAGUGAUAGAGAAACUGAAACGAUGGAAGAAACUGAACUUCAGUUGUUGUUCCAUGCUCAGAUACAACACAGAUCAGCAGUUCAAAACCCUAAGUGUUCAUGAGCAUGAAUAAAAUUUUUGAAAACAUAUGUCUUUCCCAUGAUGUGGACGUUUUCAGAGUCUAUUAGAAUAUAAAUCUUUGACAAAUACCUUAUCUUCUUUGCCAUUUCACAACUCUGCUCCAAGCCUCUGAGGAGUUUGAGCUUUGAGGAAAGGGAGUAGAUUAAUAAGGGAGAAACCCAAUGUAUUUCUCAGAAAAAUUUGAAUCAUAUGGUUUGCACUUCUGAAGCAUUCAGAAACUUGCUAUGAAAAUGUCUUUUCAAAGGAUUUGGUAAAAUUCUUAAGACAUGAAAGUGGGGUCAUUUGUUGGAUAGUAUUAACCAACCUUAAAAAGAAGAGAUGACUCCAGCUUCACCUACAAUUAGUCAGAGGAAGGUUUUAAUUAUGGAGUCAUUUGUCAUAAUUUGUCCUUGACAGAAUGCUAUGGUAGAAUUAUUACCCCAUAAUUUGCAGUGAACUGCUAAUACAUGAUUAGUAGCAGUGGACUGUCUUUCUUUGAAACUAUUUCCCACCACACGUGCAUAAAAACCCGAGAUAACUAUGAAAUGCAAGAUCAAACAUCUGUGAAACAGAUUUUAUGCUACAUUCUCCUAAGAUGUGCUUUGUUCUAGCAUCAUCUAUACCACAUUAACUCGAUGUUAUGUAACCUCAUAAAAAUGCAAGAUAUAACACAUAUCACCCAUGUAUAAGUGGUGGUAAGCAUCAGUUAAAUCUCUGUUUAAUGGAUGUUCAAAUCUCUGUUCUAGCUGUAAAGAAUCUGGUCUGUAUCACAUCAUUUACUUAGUGACAAUAAAAUAUGUUGGCUGCAAG
Long non-coding RNA from Columba livia (rock pigeon), 2790 nucleotides. RefSeq lists it as uncharacterized. The transcript is spliced from 9 exons. The record is from RefSeq and is a predicted model, not a curated record. NCBI's taxonomy places the organism in Eukaryota, Metazoa, Chordata, Aves, Columbiformes, Columbidae.